CCCGCCGAAAGGCGGAUUAAUACCCCAUUGACCCUAGAUGCGGCAUCGCGUUUAGGGUAAAGGAGCAAUCCGGCGGGGGAUGAGCAUGCGUGCCAUUAGCUGGUUGGCGGGGUAACGGCCCACCAAGGCGACGAUGGCUCGGGGGUCUGAGAGGAUGGUCCCCCACACUGGUACUGAGACACGGACCAGACUCCUACGGGAGGCAGCAGUGAGGAAUAUUGGUCAAUGGGCGGAAGCCUGAACCAGCCAUGCCGCGUGCAGGAAGACGGCCCUACGGGUUGUAAACUGCUUUUCCGGGGGAAGAAUAAGGGCGACGUGUCGCCCGAUGCCGGUACCCCGGGAAUAAGGAUCGGCUAACUCCGUGCCAGCAGCCGCGGUAAUACGGAGGAUCCGAGCGUUAUCCGGAUUUACUGGGUUUAAAGGGUGCGUAGGCGGGCCCCUAAGUCAGCGGUGAAAGUCUGCGGCUCAACCGUAGGAUUGCCGUUGAUACUGGGGGUCUUGGAUUCGGUCGAGGCGGGCGGAAUGCGACAUGUAGCGGUGAAAUGCUUAGAUAUGUCGCAGAACGCCGAUUGCGAAGGCAGCUCGCCGGGCCGACAUCGACGCUGAGGCACGAAAGCGUGGGGAUCGAACAGGAUUAGAUACCCUGGUAGUCCACGCCGUAAACGAUGAUGGCUGGAUGUUGGCGAUACACCGUCAGCGUCUGAGGGAAACCAUUAAGCC
Molecule: ribosomal RNA, 720 nt
Filed under: uncultured Bacteroidota bacterium
Lineage: Bacteria; Pseudomonadati; Bacteroidota
Description: bacterial SSU rRNA
Rfam family: Bacterial small subunit ribosomal RNA
Source: RNAcentral